CGGGUUGUAAAGCACUUUUAGUGGGGACAAAAAGUCACGAAUUAAUACUUUGUGAUCUUGAUUUAACUCACAGAAAAAAGCACCGGCUAACUCUGUGC
Molecule: ribosomal RNA, 98 nt
Filed under: uncultured bacterium
Lineage: Bacteria
Description: partial 16S ribosomal RNA
Source: RNAcentral